CCUACGGGAGGCAGCAGUAAGGAAUAUUGGUCAAUGGGCGGAAGUCUGAACCAGCCAUGCCGCGUGCAGGAUGACGGCCCUCUGGGUUGUAAACUGCUUUUAUAGGGGACGAAAAAAGGGGAUUCUUCCUCACUUGACGGUACCCUAGGAAUAAGCACCGGCUAACUCCGUGCCAGCAGCCGCGGUAAUACGGAGGGUGCAAGCGUUAUCCGGAUUUACUGGGUUUAAAGGGUGCGUAGGUGGGUCGGUAAGUCAGCGGUGAAAUCUUCGAGCUUAACUCGGAAACUGCCAUUGAUACUAUCGAUCUUGAAUCGUCUAGAGGUAAGCGGAAUAUGUCAUGUAGCGGUGAAAUGCUUAGAUAUGACAUAGAACACCAAUUGCGAAGGCAGCUUACUAUGGAUGUAUUGACACUGAGGCACGAAAGCGUGGGGAUCAAACAGGAUUAGAUACCCUGGUAGUCCACGCCCUAAACGAUGGAUACUCGACAUUUGAGAUAUACUUUAAAGUGUCUGAGCGAAAGCAUUAAGUAUCCACCUGGAAGUACGANGCAGAUAGAAUACAAUAGAGUAGACGNGNGAGAGAGACGAGAGACGACGAGGGAGGAG
This 605-nucleotide ribosomal RNA is filed under the name uncultured bacterium. RNAcentral describes it as "bacterial SSU rRNA". The stretch from base 1 to 535 matches the Rfam family "Bacterial small subunit ribosomal RNA", at positions 338 to 873 of the family's 1533-position model. The record is from RNAcentral.